Molecule: ribosomal RNA, 550 nt
Filed under: uncultured bacterium
Lineage: Bacteria
Description: bacterial SSU rRNA
Rfam family: Bacterial small subunit ribosomal RNA
Source: RNAcentral
UAGGGAAUCUUCGGCAAUGGACGGAAGUCUGACCGAGCAACGCCGCGUGAGUGAAGAAGGUUUUCGGAUCGUAAAGCUCUGUUGUAAGAGAAGAACGAGUGUGAGAGUGGAAAGUUCACACUGUGACGGUAUCUUACCAGAAAGGGACGGCUAACUACGUGCCAGCAGCCGCGGUAAUACGUAGGUCCCGAGCGUUGUCCGGAUUUAUUGGGCGUAAAGCGAGCGCAGGCGGUUAGAUAAGUCUGAAGUUAAAGGCUGUGGCUUAACCAUAGUACGCUUUGGAAACUGUUUAACUUGAGUGCAAGAGGGGAGAGUGGAAUUCCAUGUGUAGCGGUGAAAUGCGUAGAUAUAUGGAGGAACACCGGUGGCGAAAGCGGCUCUCUGGCUUGUAACCGACGCUGAGGCUCGAAAGCGUGGGGAGCAAACAGGAUUAGAUACCCUGGUAGUCCACGCCGUAAACGAUGAGUGCUAGGUGUUAGACCCUUUCCGGGGUUUAGUGCCGUAGCUAACGCAUUAAGCACUCCGCCUGGGGAGUACGACCGCAAGGUUG